GACGAACGCUGGCGGCGUGCUUAACACAUGCAAGUCGAACGGAAAGGCCUCUUUCGGGGGGUACUCGAGUGGCGAACGGGUGAGUAACACGUGAGUAACCUGCCCUUGACUUUGGGAUAACUUCAGGAAACUGGGGCUAAUACCGGAUAGGAGCUCCUGCUGCAUGGUGGGGGUUGGAAAGUUUCGGCGGUUGGGGGUGGACUCGCGGCUUAUCAGCUUGUUGGUGGGGUAGUGGCUUACCAAGGCUUUGGCGGGUAGCCGGCCUGAGUGGGUGACCGGCCACAUUGGGACUGAGAUACGGCCCAGACUCCUACGGGAGGCAGCAGUGGGGAAUAUUGCACAAUGGGUGGAAGCCUGAUGCAGCAACGCCGUGUGCGGGAUGACGGCCUUCGGGUUGUAAACCGCUUUCGCUCAUGACGAAGCUUUGUGUGACGGUAGUGGGUAAAGAAGCACCGGCUAACUACGUG
Molecule: ribosomal RNA, 467 nt
Filed under: uncultured bacterium
Lineage: Bacteria
Description: partial 16S ribosomal RNA
Rfam family: Bacterial small subunit ribosomal RNA
Source: RNAcentral